Microcebus murinus (gray mouse lemur) is the source of this 585-nucleotide non-coding RNA. The record is from RefSeq and is a predicted model, not a curated record. Lineage: Eukaryota; Metazoa; Chordata; Mammalia; Primates; Cheirogaleidae.
AGCCAGGGAGGGCCAGGGCUGGCGCCCAGGCCUGCCCAGGGGUCAGGCACAGGCCAGGUGUCAGAACAGGGGAGUGCAGCCACAGCCGUCAGUCAAGUUUCUCAGUCUGCUCUGAGCGCUGGAGUCUGGGCCCAAGGGCAUCUGAAGGGUACCGUACCCUGCCGCAUUAAGUAUGUUUCUCCUGGAUGCCAAGCAGUCUCUCCUGGGAGAUACUAACCAUCUGGCUGAAACAAACACUUUGACAGAACAUCUGGAUAUGCACUCUGCACAGUGUGAAGCAGCUGGAUCCCUGGCAGCAUCUGUGAGGACAUGAUGCUUGGAGGUUUGGCUGCCACCUUACAACCAAAAGGAAAAGAGACUUACUGGGAGCUGGAACCAGAGCCCAGACAUCAUGGAGCUAUUGAAUUAUCUGAUCCUGGAACUGCCUUCCUCUGGGCUUCUUAUUUUGAGCAAUAAUAAAUGCUCUUGUUAAACAUUGUAGCUGGCUUUUCUGUUACGUGGCCCAGUGGGACCUGACUGAUAUGUGAGAUGGCCCACAUGUUUUAUGUUCCCUCCCGUACUUUGAAGAAAACCAAAGAAGUUCCU